UGCAGUCGAGCGGACAGAAGGGAGCUUGCUCCCGGAAGUCAGCGGCGGACGGGUGAGUAACACGUAGGUAACCUGCCCCUUAGACUGGGAUAACUCCGGGAAACCGGAGCUAAUACGGGAUAAUAAAGAGAAUCACCUGAUUCUCUUUUGAAAGACGGUUUCGGCUGUCACUAAGGGAUGGGCCUGCGGCGCAUUAGCUAGUUGGUAAGGUAACGGCUUACCAAGGCGACGAUGCGUAGCCGACCUGAGAGGGUGAUCGGCCACACUGGGACUGAGACACGGCCCAGACUCCUACGGGAGGCAGCAGUAGGGAAUCUUCCGCAAUGGACGAAAGUCUGACGGAGCAACGCCGCGUGAGUGAGGAAGGCCUUCGGGUCGUAAAGCUCUGUUGUGAGGGAAGAACAAGUACCGGCGUAACUACCGGUACCUUGACGGUACCUCACCAGAAAGCCACGGCUAACUACGUGCCAGCAGCCGCGGUAAUACGUAGGUGGCAAGCGUUGUCCGGAAUUAUUGGGCGUAAAGCGCGCGCAGGCGGCUUCUUAAGUCUGAUGUGAAAUCUCGGGGCUCAACCCCGAGCGGCCAUUGGAAACUGGGAAGCUUGAGUGCAGAAGAGGAGAGUGGAAUUCCACGUGUAGCGGUGAAAUGCGUAGAUAUGUGGAGGAACACCAGUGGCGAAGGCGACUCUCUGGUCUGUAACUGACGCUGAGGCGCGAAAGCGUGGGGAG
RNAcentral lists this ribosomal RNA (728 nucleotides) under Shouchella hunanensis. RNAcentral describes it as "bacterial SSU rRNA". It matches the Rfam family "Bacterial small subunit ribosomal RNA", at positions 56 to 768 of the family's 1533-position model. Lineage: Bacteria; Bacillati; Bacillota; Bacilli; Caryophanales; Bacillaceae. The record is from RNAcentral.